RNAcentral lists this ribosomal RNA (253 nucleotides) under uncultured bacterium. Its description in RNAcentral is "partial 16S ribosomal RNA". It matches the Rfam family "Bacterial small subunit ribosomal RNA", at positions 524 to 776 of the family's 1533-position model. The record is from RNAcentral.
UACAGAGGGUGCAAGCGUUAAUCGGAAUGACUGGGCGUAAAGGGCACGUAGGCGGCAAGAUGUGUUAUAGGUGAAAUCCCCGGGCUUAACCUGGGAAGGUCCUAUAAAACUGUCUUGCUAGAAUAUAGGAGAGGUAAGUGGAACUCCGAGUGUAGAGGUGAAAUUCGUAGAUAUUCGGAAGAACACCAGUGGCGAAGGCGACUUACUGGUCCAUUACUGACGCUCAUGCACGAAAGCGUGGGGAGCAAACAGG